RNAcentral lists this unclassified non-coding RNA (244 nucleotides) under uncultured fungus. RNAcentral describes it as "sequence contains ITS1, 5.8S rRNA gene". The stretch from base 196 to 244 matches the Rfam family "5.8S ribosomal RNA", at positions 1 to 49 of the family's 154-position model. The record is from RNAcentral. Lineage: Eukaryota; Fungi.
UCUCCGUAGGUGAACCUGCGGAGGGAUCAUUACCGAGUGAGGGUUCCGGCCCGACCUCCAACCCUUUGUGAAUUCGACCCAGUUGCCUCGGGGGCGACCCGGUCGCGUCGGAUUCCCGACGUCGGCGUCGGGGCCCCCGACGGACCCCCUUCUCACGCUGCAUCUUUGCGUCGGGUUGAUCAGAAAAUCAAUCAAAACUUUCAACAACGGAUCUCUUGGUUCUGGCAUCGAUGAAGAACGCAGC